UACGGGGGGAGCAAGCGUUGUUCGGAUUUACUGGGCGUAAAGGGCGCGUAGGCGGCCACCGCAAGUCGACUGUGAAAUCUCCGGGCUUAACUCGGAAAGGUCAGCCGAUACUGCGGGGCUAGAGUGCAGAAGGGGCAACUGGAAUUCUCGGUGUAGCGGUGAAAUGCGCAGAUAUCAGGAGGAACACCGGUGGCGAAGGCGGGUCUCUGGGCCGAUACUGACGCUGAGGAGCGAAAGCGUGGGGAGCGAACAGG
RNAcentral lists this ribosomal RNA (254 nucleotides) under uncultured bacterium. Its description in RNAcentral is "partial 16S ribosomal RNA". It matches the Rfam family "Bacterial small subunit ribosomal RNA", at positions 524 to 776 of the family's 1533-position model. The record is from RNAcentral.